RNAcentral lists this ribosomal RNA (253 nucleotides) under uncultured bacterium. Its description in RNAcentral is "partial 16S ribosomal RNA". It matches the Rfam family "Bacterial small subunit ribosomal RNA", at positions 524 to 776 of the family's 1533-position model. The record is from RNAcentral.
UACAGAGGGGGCAAGCGUUGUUCGGAAUUACUGGGCGUAAAGGGCGCGUAGGCGGCCCGCUAAGUCGAACGUGAAAUCCCCGAGCUCAACUCGGGAACUGCGUCCGAUACUGGUGGGCUUGAAUCCGGGAGAGGGAUGCGGAAUUCCAGGUGUAGCGGUGAAAUGCGUAGAUAUCUGGAGGAACACCGGUGGCGAAGGCGGCAUUCUGGACCGAAACUGACGCUGAGGCGCGAAAGCCAGGGGAGCAAACGGG